Molecule: long non-coding RNA, 884 nt
Organism: Nematostella vectensis (starlet sea anemone)
Lineage: Eukaryota; Metazoa; Cnidaria; Anthozoa; Actiniaria; Edwardsiidae
Exons: 2
Source: RefSeq, a predicted model, not a curated record
CAGAAUACUUAAAAUAGCAGGUACUAUAAAUUUAAUUUGCUAAAGUUUACCCAUAAUAAAUUGAACCCUUGGCAACUCAAUCGAGCAGGAAGUGAUUUCUGUUUUAGUUUCAUUCAAUAAUGUCAGAUAAUGUCUCUACCUAUUGCCCAAGACCUGCUAUUCAUAAGAUCCCGUCAAAUAAAAAACAGGAGUGACUGAUUGACGCCAAUUAAACCAAUUUUAAACUCAAGAGUUAAAACUAAUUUUAUUUACUUAACCGAUGGGAUUCUAAUACUAUAAAAAUGAGGUUGAAGAUGUUGUGUUUACAAAAAGGGAUUUAUUGAAUGGCACAAUUGACUCAGCUGUUUUGCUUCAAAUGAUAUAAAAGGCAACGCUUUGCUGGCAUCUAGCAUCUCAGAUUUGACGAGAUUGGCAAAACAACUUCGCAACACCUAAACAGAAGCAUCAAGCGAAAGAUGAUCAAGUUAGCUUUCUUGGGACUUUGUCUUGUCGCUGGGUCUUCAGCCGUUUUAAACUGUAAGUAGAUGGCGUACACUUCACUGCCAGUAUGGCGCUAAAGAUGAUUUCGAAGGCAUGUCCCUAAAGCCCUGUGCAAACUGCGCCAUCACCUGCCAGCAUUGCUGAGCCAGCAAUGCUGGCCAAGUGCUAGGCCGGAGCAGUGCAGUGCUAGGCCACAACACAUGGCCAGCCUGUUGGUAAUAAGCUCACGCGUGACUGGCGUUUGAUGCAUGACGGGACCAAAGGCAACCCAAGACCCCACUAUUUUACUUGUGUUUUCAAAAGACAACCCAAGAUUCCGCUGGAUUCCGUUUGAAUUUGGGACUAUUUCGUCCCCUGAUGUUGUAGCGAUCGUCAUUUUACGACUACUAGUGAUAAGAGGACCA